Molecule: small RNA, 26 nt
Filed under: Bombyx mori (domestic silkworm)
Lineage: Eukaryota; Metazoa; Arthropoda; Insecta; Lepidoptera; Bombycidae
Description: ovarian small RNA-38446
Source: RNAcentral
UUUUACAUGAAUAAAAAUGGUGUGUA